This 707-nucleotide ribosomal RNA is filed under the name uncultured fungus. RNAcentral describes it as "eukaryotic LSU rRNA". The stretch from base 206 to 359 matches the Rfam family "5.8S ribosomal RNA". Lineage: Eukaryota; Fungi. The record is from RNAcentral.
AGUAAAAGUCGUAACAAGGUUUCCGUAGGUGAACCUGCGGAAGGAUCAUUAUUGAAUACACAAGGUUGUGCUGGUUUACAAGUGCACGCCUUUUCAAUUCCAUACACCUGUGCACCUUUGUAGGUUUUGGGUUUACCCGAAGCCUAUGUUUAUAUACCCCAUUAUGUUUCUGAAUGUUUCUUGUCUUUUGACAAACAAAUUAUACAACUUUAAGCAGCGGAUCUCUUGGCUCUCGCAUCGAUGAAGAACGCAGCGAAAUGCGAUAAGUAAUGUGAAUUGCAGAAUUCAGUGAAUCAUCGAAUCUUUGAACGCACCUUGCGCCCUUUGGUAUUCCGAAGAGCAUGCCUGUUUGAGUGUCAUUAAAUUCUCAAACCAAUAGUUCGCUAUUGGCUUUGGACUCUGAGAGUUGCUGACGAAAGUCGGCUCUCUUUAAAUGUAUUAGCUGGCAUUGAUUGUUAGACUAAUGAUGUGAUAAUUAUCUACAUUAUGGUCGCAGUUGGCUGCUUCUAACCGUCUUCGGACAACUAUGACAAUUUGACCUCAAAUCAGGUAGGACUACCCGCUGAACUUAAGCAUAUCAAUAAGCGGAGGAAAAGAAACUAACAAGGAUUCCCCUAGUAACUGCGAGUGAACCGGGAAAAGCUCAAAUUUAAAAUCUGGCAGUUUAUAAUUGUCCGAGUUGUAAUCUGGAGAAGCGUUUUCCGUGC